This 484-nucleotide ribosomal RNA is filed under the name uncultured bacterium. Its description in RNAcentral is "partial 16S ribosomal RNA". It matches the Rfam family "Bacterial small subunit ribosomal RNA", at positions 30 to 507 of the family's 1533-position model. The record is from RNAcentral.
AUUGAACGCUGGCGGCAGGCCUAACACAUGCAAGUCGAGCGGAUGAAGGGAGCUUGCUCCUGGAUUCAGCGGCGGACGGGUGAGUAAUGCCUAGGAAUCUGCCUGGUAGUGGGGGAUAACGUCCGGAAACGGGCGCUAAUACCGCAUACGUUCUGAGGGAGAAAGUGGGGGAUCUUCGGACCUCACGCUAUCAGAUGAGCCUAGGUCGGAUUAGCUAGUUGGUGGGGUAAAGGCCUACCAAGGCGACGAUCCGUAACUGGUCUGAGAGGAUGAUCAGUCACACUGGAACUGAGACACGGUCCAGUCUCCUACGGGAGGCAGCAGUGGGGAAUAUUGGACAAUGGGCGAAAGCCUGAUCCAGCCAUGCCGCGUGUGUGAAGAAGGUCUUCGGAUUGUAAAGCACUUUAAGUUGGGAGGAAGGGCAGUAAGUUAAUACCUUGCUGUUUUGACGUUACCAACAGAAUAAGCACCGGCUAACUUCGUG